RNAcentral lists this ribosomal RNA (497 nucleotides) under uncultured bacterium. Its description in RNAcentral is "partial 16S ribosomal RNA". It matches the Rfam family "Bacterial small subunit ribosomal RNA", at positions 28 to 507 of the family's 1533-position model. The record is from RNAcentral.
GAUGAACGCUGGCGGCGUGCCUAAUACAUGCAAGUCGAGCGAACAGACGAGGAGCUUGCUCCUCUGACGUUAGCGGCGGACGGGUGAGUAACACGUGGAUAACCUACCUAUAAGACUGGGAUAACUUCGGGAAACCGGAGCUAAUACCGGAUAAUAUAUUGAACCGCAUGGUUCAAUAGUGAAAGACGGUUUUGCUGUCACUUAUAGAUGGAUCCGCGCCGCAUUAGCUAGUUGGUAAGGUAACGGCUUACCAAGGCAACGAUGCGUAGCCGACCUGAGAGGAUGAUAGGCCACACUGGAACUGAGCCACGGUCCAGACUCCUACGGGAGGCAGCAGUAGGGAAUCUUCCGCAAUGGGCGAAAGCCUGACGGAGCAACGCCGCGUGAGUGAUGAAGGUCUUCGGAUCGUAAAACUCUGUUAUUAGGGAAGAACAAAUGUGUAAGUAACUAUGCACGUCUUGACGGUACCUAAUCAGAAAGCCACGGCUAACUACGUG